CGGAGGAUCCAAGCGUUAUCCGGAAUCAUUGGGUUUAAAGGGUCCGUAGGCGGUCUUGUAAGUCAGUGGUGAAAGCCCAUCGCUCAACGGUGGAACGGCCAUUGAUACUGCUGGACUUGAAUUAUUGGGAAGUAACUAGAAUAUGUAGUGUAGCGGUGAAAUGCUUAGAGAUUACAUGGAAUACCAAUUGCGAAGGCAGGUUACUACCAAUUGAUUGACGCUGAUGGACGAAAGCGUGGGUAGCGAACAGGAUUAGAUACCCUGGUAGUCCACGCCGUAAACGAUGGAUACUAGCUGUUGGAAGCAAUUUCAGUGGCUAAGCGAAAGUGAUAAGUAUCCCACCUGGGGAGUACGUUCGCAAGAAUG
RNAcentral lists this ribosomal RNA (366 nucleotides) under uncultured organism. Its description in RNAcentral is "bacterial SSU rRNA". It matches the Rfam family "Bacterial small subunit ribosomal RNA", at positions 526 to 896 of the family's 1533-position model. The record is from RNAcentral.